UGCUGCUGCCUGUGACAAACAAGAAGAUCAUGUCAAUAAGAUGACGCAGCUUAUCAGUGGCAAACGUCAACAUGUCUACUCAUCAGAGACAAACAAGGUCAUCGACUGAUAACAGUGAAAAAGAGGAAAUGCACAGGACAGAGCGCUUCAAAUAAUUCCCGGAGAGGAAGCCAUCUAAAAAGGAAGCGAAUGUUCGGCACAGCUUUGUAGGCCGAAGGGCCUGAAUUGUGCUGUAGGUUUUUUUCUGUGUUUCUGUCUGGGAGGUCUAAUAAAGAGGUCGCUUGUUUGGGAGUUGCCACAGAAGUAACCUGGACAAGUAAUGGCAGUGCAUCUUGCAGUAAACACUGCAGCCACCGUGCACCAGCGUUGGAGGUUGAUGGUGUACCAUUCAAGUGACCUGCUUUGUCUUGGAUACUGUCUAGUUCUGUGAGAUUGAUGAUGCUGUAUUCAAGUGGGGAUCAGAGCUGCCACAUCAUUCUACUGUCAAUCGUCAACAAAGUGAUGGAUGUUAUUGCUGCCAAAAGCACCGAGUGGCACUUAUUCUCCAAUAAUCAGCUCGCAGUUUGGGCGUUGCCAGGACUACCUGCCUACACAACUCAUUACAGCCUUUGUCCAGACAUGGACCGAGGAGCUAAGCCUAGAAGCAAAGUGAGAGCAACUGCCCUCAACAUCAAAGCAGCAGCAAAUGACUUCAAGAAGCCCUGGUAAAACUGAAGACAGUAAUCAUCAAGAGGAAGAUAUUCCAGUGGUUGGGAUUAUAACCUGCACAUGGAAAGAUGGCUGUGGAUUUCAGAGGUCAAUCAUCCCAGCCCAAGGACAUUACCACAGGGUACUCGCCUGGGCACAAUCGUAUUCAGCUGCUUCAUCAACAAUCUUCCUUCCGCCUUGAGGUCAGGGAAUGUUUGCCGAUGAUUGCACUAUGUUCAAUUCAAUUUGCAGAUCCUUGGAAAAUGUAUAAGGCCCAUGCCUGCAUGCAGCAAAACCAAGACAUUCAGACAUAGGCUGAUAAAUGGCAAGUGACAAUUGAUCCACAAAAGUCCCAGGUGCCCUGCCUGAUCUAGCCUUUCAUUGACUUUAGGUGAAACCCUCUAAUCAUUUUCCAUCAGCCUCUUUCGCGAUACUGGUAUUGAAUGACUUUGCCCAAACAUUUAGGUAUAAGAAAAUGCACUGAAUCCAGCAUUUUCAUAGAAAAUGAUUGAAUCAGUGUCAAUUAGUCUAUUUCCUAUUUGCUCUAUCUGGUUUUUAUUCAGUUUCUGAUUAUGGAUAUUAUAUUGGUUAAUCAUUAGAGACUUAUUACCUCUGCCCAAAAAUUUCUUGAAGAAAUGCAACAUAUUCACUUACACUUGGGAAUGUCUGGUCCAUGACCACUCAAGGUGCAGAAGGAGGAUUUGGAAUUGAGAACCUCAAGGCCUUGAGAACUCAGUAGCAUAGUAUUGUAGUUGGUAGGGCUGCUGCCUUAGAGUUCCAGUGAGCUGGGUUCAAUUCUGACAUCCAUGCUAUCUGUAUGGAACUUGCAUCUUCCCUCCGUGACCUCAUGUUCUUCCCACAUUGAAAAGGCAUACUGGUCAGUAGAUUAAUUAGCCACUGUAAAUGACCCCAAGUGUAGAUGGGUGGUAGAAGUUCAAGCUGGCAUGGAUGGACAUUGAAAGAGAAUAAACUGAAAGGAAUUAUGUGGGGAAAUGGAAUUGACAGGAUUGCUCUGAGAUCCAGCAUAAGCCCUAUGGGAUGAAUGGUUUUCUCUAUGUCAUAUGAGAAUAAGCAUCAGGAGCACACUGAAGCCCUGCAUAAGUUCAGAAGGAGUCCACCACUUCACUGUCUACCUGUCCACACCUCCUCCCUCCCCACCUCACACCUCCCUAUUCCUGACAGGCUCCUUCUGUCCCUCUGUGAAAAUUUCUGCUCUUCCCACAUUGGCCUCAUUAGUUACCUCAUAGCCCCCUAACCAAGAUGGAAGCAACUCAUCCUCAAUCCCAAGCGACUCUGAGAAGAUGACUUCUCAUCCACUCUCCACUUUUCAUCUUUGAUGAUCCAUGUUUGACAGUUUACUGAUAUUCCUCAUGAAGUCUCCUAUGUUUUCUUGUGGAAGGAAUAUUAAUGUAUGUAAGUAUUAAAGUUACAAAGAUAGCAAUUUCUGUUGCCCGUGAUUUUUCCGAUCUUUUUCAUUUAAUUGACCCAAUGUUUAAUUAACUAAUUCAAAUGUAAGCAAUAGAACUAAAUAGUGAUGUUGAGAGAGAAAUUUGGUAGGCUAUGAAAAGGACCUUUUUACAAAUGUUGAUCCAGUACUGGAAAGGCUGAUUAUCUUCCAUCUGUGAUAAUCCGAGCAGCCCUAUGUCCGGCAAGAUGUUGCAGCCAAAUUAACCACUGUAUUCCUGGCCUUUGGAACAAUGGGAUCAGAACUAAAAUCACUUUCAGGAACCCUCUGAAAGUAAGAUGAUAGCAAAGGUUUUCAAUGACCACAUACUCCAAGUUGCCUGUAAGAGUCUUAUUGAUGCCAUGAUAUGAGUAUAAUGUGAACAUUUAAACUUUAAAUGAACAGAGUGCUGGCUCCCAAACAUGUGCCAUACCAGCAGAGUUAAUUUCGUAAAGCAUAUUUAUAAAGCCCUGAUGUUCUCAUGAACUCAAGAGGAUAUCUUCAUAUUGGGAUACAAAUCUACUGACAUCCAUGAGAUAUGUUUGAAGUAGUGAGAAUAUGUGAGUAAUCUCAAUGUAUGAUUUGUCACAGCGAGAUACUCAGUCUCCAAUGAGUCAUUCACUCAUCCUUGUGCAUAAAACACCUAUGUUCACAAACACAAUCUGAUUUAUGGUUUUUCAACUCCUAAUCAGCCAUUUAUUGUUACUACUUGAAAAAAAUUAGACUGCAGUAUUUUUCAAUGCAAAAUGUCAUCAGGUCUGAUAAUUAGAUCACAAGAACACAAUUUUUUCAGAACGAGUGUGUCAUCUCUGAAACAAAACCACUGAGAAAAAGUGACAAAUCUAAAAACCUCUCAAUGAUUCAUUUCAUCAUAUACUUAUGUUGAAAAAAAUUACCUUCUGAUCUUGCAACAUUAACCUUAUUACUUGGUUCACGUAUCAGAGCCACAAUGAAAAGUGCAGGCAUACACACAAAAUUCACUGCUAACUUCUCAUCAGCUUCAUUUUGCAAUUGGGUUUGCAUCCUGUCCUAAGACCAACAUUAAGCAAACCCAGCACACUUGUAAUUAAUUUGGCAGCCAAUACACUUAGAGACCAGAUUAGUAACAAGAUUGUUACCAACUUUUUUAGCAUGAGAAAAGACCGAAACAAGGAUGAAUUUCUCCCCUGCAGGUUCUCCCCCAAAAUCAUUCAGCUAAAAAAAACAUUAGAUUGGUGGAAAGAAGAGGUCUCCCUGCCUAUAUCAAUUCAUUUUGCUUAUUUUCUUGAGGAAAGCUAUCAUGAGUCAGAUUUAUCGCACUCAUUUUCUUAAUGCUUGUGUUUUUUUAACUUUUGGUCAUGAAUUUCCACAAGAUCAUUCACAAGGUCAUACACCAUGCCCCCAAUUAAUAUGCUAAUGAUUCACAUGGCUGUAACACUGGAGUUCCUGAACUGGUCAUGGUUAGACAUUUGUAUGAACAAUAUCAUUUCUUUUGGAAGAUGGGAAAACGGUCUCUCAUUUUAUUGCCUUUCUCUCUGUCAUUCCCUUACAAAGCUGAGCUCCUUGUGCAAUGUCAACUGUGACUCACAGGAUCGUAUCUUGCCCCUUUAGCCAGAGGAUGUUGGGUCCAAUUCCCAUUCUUGGUUCUUAAACACAAAAAUCCUCUUGGAGUAUUGCACUGUUGGAGAUGCCGUUUCUUGGAUACAACAGUUUUGUCUGCAUUCUCAGUUGGACUUAAAAAUACUUCAAACAAAAGCUGAAAAACAAGGAAAAUAUACGUGAAUUAAAGGCCGCCACACUUCCUGCAUUACAACAGUGACUACACCUGAUACGUACUUCAUUGACUGUGUAGUGCUUUUGGAUGCCAUGAAAGAAACAUGAAUGGAACUAUAUAAAUCUAAGACAGUAUCCUUCAACAUGCACCCAAAACAUCCCACUUGAGUACAAUGCCUCACAAUAAUCCAGAAAAGGAAUUUUAAAAAAUAAAUCCACCUACUAUUUGAUGUAUAAAUCAAAUUUAAAAAAUCAUUUUGUGCACCCUUUGAAAUAUUUGUACCCAUUUGCAACACAUAUCCCACCAUUGGGAAAUUGGAUUGGGAAUGUUUUGUUGGGAUUUACCCAAGGGAGGGUGGUAUUUCUCUAUUGUAUUUCACAGAGACAAUGAUGUUAUCAAUGUGCUCAGGGUGCAUUUCUGACUUACAGACAUAAGCUGGAUCAAUAAGUCGUAAACUACGACCUUUGCUGUUCACUCAUAAUGAAGCAAAGAGCAUGUCAAGCAGUAACUGGGGAACCAGAUAUGAAUUUAAGGCUUGCCAUUGGGACAUCACUUCUAUAAGCUCUGAUUCCAGCACAUUGAUUGACAUGUGUGGUCCUUACAUGGACAUGAUAUCUGACAUUGGAUGAAUCCCAACAGGAAGUACCCAAGAAUUUCCCAAUAGGUGGGAUUCCAACUACAGACCAAGGCCUGGUCAGGCUGCUUCAGAAUAUGGGCAUCCGCCAUAUUCUCUCCCCAGCCCCAAAUUUCCCACUCGUCUCUUGGUUUCCCACACAACCCCAUGAUGUUCACCUUCCCUGUGAUUUUCCAUCUCUUUCCCUAUUCCCCCACCUCACGGUUUUCCACCCUUGUCCUAUGGCCUAGUAUUUUCCCUCACUUCUAUGGCAGCCUAUGUGGUGAGAACAUUUAACACCCCAACUCGCUUCCUAGCAGGCAACAUGUGAACGAGAAGGCAGCUGGGAGCUGAAGCACCUGCUGGUCUCUAUGAAUGCACAACUUGACUUCCAGCACAAGUGAUGGGAGAAAACCAUGAGAGCAAUUUCUUAAAGCGAGGAUGUCCCAAUUCAGCAAUAUUUUUGGUGACAACCGCUUUGUCUUUAGGACAAAACAUAAACGUUAAACACACCAGAAAUCCACUUUCUAGACUAUUAUGGUGCCUGACUGAGCUACUAUGUGGAUUAAUAAUCAAGGUAAACAAAACUAAAUUAUAUUGUCAAUUAAAGUACAAUUGUGUUUAUCUCUGUAAAUUGGGACUACUUAAAUUGAUCAGACUGUCUCUGCUGCUUAUAUUGUUUUGUCAUUGAAACUUGAAGCUAAAGUGAAUUUGUUAAGUACAUCAAACUUACAAACAACAGGCACUUAAAUAUAAAUUUCAUGUUUGGCUUAUGUUAUAAUAUGUGUUCAUGACUGUAAGAAAUACUAAAUGUGUCUAUGUUCAUAUAUAGAGUUUUUAUAAACCUUUUAUAAUCCUGAUACUUGUAUCAUGAUUUGUGGCAGUUACUUUGAAUGGCUCUUGAAGUACUGAGCAACUUGUAUCAUUUUUAAAGAUAUUUUGCAUAAUUGUUUCAGGUAUAUUACAAAACACUGGGACACAAAAAUAAUCAUUUAGGAAUCUACUCAGCAGCGUUGUUUCUGUAGUUGGUUAAUAAGAUAUGUUCACGAGAUAAAAUACUAUCACAAACAAGCGUAUAUUUUUGUCAAAUGCUCUACUUAAUAAAAACCUCA
Molecule: long non-coding RNA, 5609 nt
Organism: Pristis pectinata (smalltooth sawfish)
Lineage: Eukaryota; Metazoa; Chordata; Chondrichthyes; Rhinopristiformes; Pristidae
Exons: 4
Source: RefSeq, a predicted model, not a curated record